UCAUCAGGUAGGAUAAUCCUUACCUGUUCCUCCUUUUGGAGAGCAGAUGAUUCGUGGUUAACGUCUCUGCGUGAUCAGGACUUGCAACACCCUGAUCGCAAAAAAAAGAA
Myotis myotis is the source of this 110-nucleotide small nucleolar RNA. RefSeq annotates it as U8 small nucleolar RNA. The record is from RefSeq and is a predicted model, not a curated record. The transcript has a single exon. Lineage: Eukaryota; Metazoa; Chordata; Mammalia; Chiroptera; Vespertilionidae.